CUGGGGCCCUUUAGUUGAUGUUGUUGGUUAUUGUUUCCUGAGCCUUGCAUCAAAGUAUCAACCUCGGGAAGACUUUGUCCAUUGGAUUAAAAAAGGACCACCACCUUUAUAUUUUGGGUUUGGGAGCAUGGUAUGGAGCAAAUGUCUCCUCAUAGUCAAUGCCAAAGGUCUAUGUGAACCCCUUGGCCACCAAUCAUGCCUUGUGUCGAUCUAAUGUUCCAUCGGAUUUACACUUCACUAUGUAUAUCCAUCUGCACCCUACAACUUUCUUGUUUUUAGGUAUAUCAACAAUCUCUAAAGUUGAGUUUCUCUCUAAUGCCUUCGUCUCCUCAUUCAUGGCUCUAACCCAAUUUCUAUCUAUUAGAGCUUCUUGGACUAACACAGGUAUUUUAAUUGCAUCAAUGGCUACAAUAAAGUUUCAAUGUUGAACAGAGAGAUGGUCGGUACAAACAAAUUGAGAAAUAGGAUACUUGACACAUGAUCUCUUCCUUUUCAUCAAGUAUCUUGGACAUCCUACAAGGAAGAGGUAAUGAUCCAAAGACAGACUCAACUUCUAGAAUAAUCUCCGCCUAAAGUUGAGGGCUAACAAAGAAAGGUACGAUUUCAUGAAAUGUGACAUCCUUUGUAACAAAAAAACGACUAUUGGGUCUAACUUGUCACAAUGAGGAUUGUGAGAAUGAACAAAUGCAACAUACCCAAACACACGACAUGAGAGACUUAAUACUAGGGGAGAAGAAGAGAAAAGUGGCGUGUUCAAUUGAACUAAUAGCCUAUAAGACAUGAGUGGAUAACCUGUUAAUGAGAUAAGUGGCAGUUAGGACAACUUCUCCCUCACAAACAACAGACAUUUGAAAGAGUAGAGUUCUGACAACCUCAAGUAGGCGACGAUUGUUUCUUUGUACUACCCCAUUUUGUUGGGGAGUAUUAACACAUGUAAUUCAUGGAUAAUAGCUUGCUUUAUAACAAACUUAGAAAAUUCAAGAUUAACAUAUUCAAUUCCAUUGUCUGACCGGAUUCUUUUGAUAAACUUGCUAAAUUGAUUUUUGACAAGACAAAAGAAAUUGACAAAUAUUUGGCAAACCUCAUAUUUGUGUUUCAUAAGGUAUGUCCAUGUUAGAUGAGUGCAAUCACGAUGAAUGUUGCAAACCAUCUGACCCCAAAAACAGAUUCAACAACAGGUCUCUAUACAUCAGAAUGGACAAGAUCAAAAGGAGAAACACUUUUAUUAUUACUAGGUA
This is a non-coding RNA of Cajanus cajan (pigeon pea), 1238 nucleotides long. The record is from RefSeq and is a predicted model, not a curated record. Lineage: Eukaryota; Viridiplantae; Streptophyta; Magnoliopsida; Fabales; Fabaceae.